This 254-nucleotide ribosomal RNA is filed under the name uncultured bacterium. RNAcentral describes it as "partial 16S ribosomal RNA". It matches the Rfam family "Bacterial small subunit ribosomal RNA", at positions 524 to 776 of the family's 1533-position model. The record is from RNAcentral.
UACGGGGGGAGCAAGCGUUGUUCGGAUUUACUGGGCGUAAAGGGCGCGUAGGCGGUCAGCACAAGUCAGUUGUGAAAUCUCCGAGCUUAACUCGGAAAGGUCAACUGAUACUGUGCGACUAGAGUGCAGAAGGGGCAACUGGAAUUCUCGGUGUAGCGGUGAAAUGCGUAGAUAUCGAGAGGAACACCUGCGGCGAAGGCGGGUUGCUGGGCUGACACUGACGCUGAGGCGCGAAAGCCAGGGGAGCGAACGGG